UGCCGAUGCUGAGAAGCAGUCCCUUCAGUCUCAGCUUGGUGAGUUGGCUGCCAGGUUGGCUGACGCCGCUCGCCAGAUGGACGAAACGACGGAGCAGCUCACAAAAGCACAGGAAGAAGUAAGCUCGUUGCGUGGCGAACUUCUAAGGGCUCAAGAGGAGAAUGCGCAGCUCGUUCACCAACUGGAAAGCAUGGAGAAGCGUUUGUCUGACACCAAAGCCGAACUGCAGGCGCAGGUGGACUCGUCAAAACAAGAGACGGCUGCUCUUAAGGUGA
Molecule: long non-coding RNA, 275 nt
Organism: Dermacentor silvarum
Lineage: Eukaryota; Metazoa; Arthropoda; Arachnida; Ixodida; Ixodidae
Exons: 3
Source: RefSeq, a predicted model, not a curated record